RNAcentral lists this ribosomal RNA (468 nucleotides) under uncultured Desulfobulbus sp. Its description in RNAcentral is "bacterial SSU rRNA". It matches the Rfam family "Bacterial small subunit ribosomal RNA", at positions 918 to 1380 of the family's 1533-position model. Lineage: Bacteria; Pseudomonadati; Thermodesulfobacteriota; Desulfobulbia; Desulfobulbales; Desulfobulbaceae. The record is from RNAcentral.
UGACGGGCCGCACAGCGGUGAGCAUGUGGUUUAAUUCGAUGAUACGCGAGGAACCUUACUGGUCUUGACAUCCCGGAGACCUUAGGAACUAGGGGUGCUUCCAUCUGGAAGAAUCUGGAGACAGGUGCUGCAUGGCUGUCGUCAGCUCGUGUCGUGAGAUGUUGGGUUAAGUCCCGCAACGAGCGCAACCCUUGCCUUUAGUUGCCAGCAGUUCGGCUGGGCACUCUAAAGGGACUGCCGGUGUUAAACCGGAGGAAGGUGGGGAUGACGUCAAGUCCUCAUGGCCUUUAUGACCAGGGCUACACACGUACUACAAUGGCCGAUACAAAGGGCAGCGACACUGCGAGGUGAAGCCAAUCCCGUAAAAUCGGUCUCAGUCCGGAUUGGAGUCUGCAACUCGACUCCAUGAAGUUGGAAUCGCUAGUAAUCGUGGAUCAGCAUGCCACGGUGAAUACGUUCCCGGGCCUU